UCAGCUCCAGGGAAGGCAGAAGCCCCAAUUUUGCCCAUCUGGGCAGAGGGAUCCUCCUCCUCUCAUCACCGGUGCUUCUUUCUGCUUGCUCAUGAAGAGUUGAAGUACUUGGAGGAACUGGAAGCUCACAGUCCUGCCUGGAAGUCCUGCCACCAACGACGUGUGCCAUAUGAACUAAAUCUGGGAUUAAUUAAGUGAGAGUGAACUCCUAACCCAUUUGAACUGUCAUGCUGAAGGUCUAGCACAAAGGAUUAGGGAGUUUACAAAGACUAAUCACCAUUGCAGGAUCCUGUGAGCUACCCUUCACACAACUGCCUUUGUAGUAAAAUGAGCCUUCAAAGUGACCGUUGCACACCGAGAACCACAAAGACAAAAUCAAGGAGGUGCUUAUUGGACACUGAGUUGCUUUUGCUCAAAGAAAACUCUUUGUUCUCUUCAGAAAACAAGAAAGUGUCUUAGCCUUGAAGUCAUCUCUCUAAUCAAAGUUCCAUAUCCACUGACAUCCAGGGAAAAUAUAAGCUAGAGAUGACAGAUUGGUUAUGCUCUUCACAGAAUCA
Pogoniulus pusillus (Red-fronted tinkerbird) is the source of this 557-nucleotide long non-coding RNA. RefSeq lists it as uncharacterized. Lineage: Eukaryota; Metazoa; Chordata; Aves; Piciformes; Lybiidae. The record is from RefSeq and is a predicted model, not a curated record. The transcript is spliced from 3 exons.